Salvelinus fontinalis (brook trout) is the source of this 73-nucleotide non-coding RNA. The record is from the annotation of a RefSeq genome assembly. NCBI's taxonomy places the organism in Eukaryota, Metazoa, Chordata, Actinopteri, Salmoniformes, Salmonidae.
GGGGGUAUAGCUCAGUGGUAGAGCAUUUGACUGUAGAUCAUAGAGGUCCCAGGUUCAAAUCCUGGUGCCCCCU